RNAcentral lists this ribosomal RNA (729 nucleotides) under uncultured eukaryote. RNAcentral's name for it is "SSU rRNA". It matches the Rfam family "Eukaryotic small subunit ribosomal RNA", at positions 670 to 1426 of the family's 1831-position model. The record is from RNAcentral.
CGGGUGCACUGAUCCAGCCGGGCCUUUCCCUCUGUGGAACCCCAUGGCCUUCACUGGCUGUGGCGGGGAAACAGGACUUUUACUUUGAAAAAAUUAGAGUGCUCCAGGCAGGCCUAUGCUCGAAUACAUUAGCAUGGAAUAAUAGAAUAGGACGUGUGGUUCUAUUUUGUUGGUUUCUAGGACCGCCGUAAUGAUUAAUAGGGACAGUCGGGGGCAUCAGUAUUCGAUUGUCAGAGGUGAAAUUCUUGGAUCUAUUGAAGACUAACUACUGCGAAAGCAUUUGCCAAGGAUGUUUUCAUUGAUAAGGAACGAAAGUUAGGGGAUCGAAGACGAUCAGAUACCGUCGUAGUCUUAACUAUAAACUAUGCCGACUAGGGAUCGGACGAUGUUAUUCUUUGACGCGUUCGGCACCUUUCGAGAAAUCAAAGUGCUUGGGCUCCAGGGGGAGUAUGGUCGCAAGGCUGAAACUUAAAGAAAUUGACGGAAGGGCACCACCAGGGGUGGAACCUGCGGCUUAAUUUGACUCAACACGGGGAAACUCACCAGGUCCAGACACAGUGAGGAUUGACAGAUUGAGAGCUCUUUCUUGAUUCUGUGGGUGGUGGUGCAUGGCCGUUCUUAGUUGGUGGAGUGAUUUGUCUGCUUAAUUGCGAUAACGAACGAGACCUUAACCUGCUAAAUAGCCCGUACUGCUUUGGCAGUUCGCCGGCUUCUUAGAGGGACUAUCGG